This is a long non-coding RNA of Acanthochromis polyacanthus (spiny chromis), 3079 nucleotides long. RefSeq lists it as uncharacterized. The record is from RefSeq and is a predicted model, not a curated record. The transcript has 5 exons. Lineage: Eukaryota; Metazoa; Chordata; Actinopteri; Pomacentridae.
GCAUACUGACACUAUGGGCAGACCAAAGGUAGCAAAAGUAUGUCAAUGUUGCAAUAACCACCUGGAUGAGAUUAUCAACUGAACAUGAACUCAUUGGUUUCCCUUUGAGGAUGUGCUGUCCCUCAUUCCUCCUCCAGAGAAUGUUACCUCACGUUAUAUGGCCAUUGCAAGAGAGGUGUGGGAUGCUACUGGCCAGCCACGAAAUUUAAACCUGGACAUCAACUUUCUAUGACACUGAUCAGUUCAUGACUACUUUUGACAUCCUCAUUCAUUUUUAUAGUUGUCUGCCUACAGUACUACUGUUUUUCAUGGUUGACUAUUGAAUAUUUGAUCAGAUCCAGUUUGUGGUCUUAGUGAGACGUUGAUGUUGAUGUAUCAUUCCUACUCACUGAUCCUUUCUUGGUGUCAGUCCCAGAGCCCUAGAGAUAGUAAGAGUUGCGACACUUCCAUAGGGUGCCGUUGUACGCUUUCUUCCAGUCUACUUCCGGGUUGUGGAGGUUUGUUUAGUUCCUAGUACCGCUUCGACAGUGAUAGCCACCGUUCAUUUGCACUGCAGGUCGUUGAGUAUAUGUGGAGGUAAGUUGAUGAAAUGCCUACCUCUUUUGAAUUGUCAACUGCCUAUAUUUUAUCAGAGGCUCUUUAUGAUGCAUAUGCUGAGCUUUAUUUGUAUUUGCGCAGCGUAAUUAUAUAUAUUUUUUAUCUUGGUAGACAACCGAAUUUCUGCUACUUUUUUUUAGCUCGACUCUGCUGUUAGCUGUGAAGUUAUCGCCAGGGAUAUAUUGACGGAUUAAUUGUUGAUGAGUCGCUACCUCUUUUUAAUUUUAACGUCUUUAUAUUAUAUCAGAAGCCCUUUGUGGUGCAUACAUUUAUCUGUAUUUGUGAAUAUUGGCAGAUGACCUACUUUCAGACAUUGCCAUGUGCUUGUUAGCUCUUCUUUGAAAGCUACCUAGCUACAUCGCUACCUCUUUUUAAUUGUCAAGACUACGUCCUUUAUAUGAGACCCUUUAUAAUGCAUAAACUUAUACUUGUAAGUAUUUAACAAAUAUAUUUAUUAAUAUCUAUCAUAUCUAUCUAUCCGCCAGUAUCCCGAGAGCCCUCACUGAAGACACGAAGACCCUCAUUGUUUCUCCCAUUGUCAAUAAAACAUACUAUUUCAUUCAUCAAAGCAUAAUGAGUUGUUAUUCUUGAAUAUAUAUUUUGUGUAUGUCUUAAAAUGGUUAUAGUGAGUCAACUCCUGCCUUAUCAGAAGUGGCUGGACACUAUCUGCUGAAUGGACUGUUGUUACUCUGCUUUUCAAUAACUCCCAGACUGCGGGUAAGUGAAUCAGAGAUAUAUAGACAUUGUCUGGAAAUACAAUAAUCCAGCUGGGCAAAAAUUAACAUCUUCAAUCAUCUUACAUUUCUGUGUAAAAGGCGAUUUUCCAUGCUAACACGAAUGUGAAACAUUCCCUCCAAAACCCCAAAAGUGUCUUUAAUAUGUCACCUUACGGCUCAAAAUGUAAAACUGACAUUUACAUACAUACUCCAAUGAAUUAAUAAUCAAACAAGUACUUGGAGGUGUGAUUUUAUUCCUUUUUUACCGUGAAAUCGCCGCUCUCAGUCCCAUAGAAGGAAAUGACAGCGCUGCCUGUUUGGAACUACUCAGAGCUCUAGAGAUAGUAAGAGUUGCGACACUCAUGCUCUCGCAGCGGGGCGGUCACGUGGUUCAUGUAAGCCUGAGUAGUUCCAAACAGAGGCAGCGCUGUCAGAUCUGAUAAGGUAAAGUGAAAUAUUGCAUUAACAAUACUCCCUCCUGCAUUGAAACAACAAAAGUACUAACGAACAGAACUUUUGAAAAAUAGUGUUCCUUUUUUCUUUUUGCCUGUUUAUAUGUGAACUUCCUGAAGGGUGGGGAAAAUGUUGCUGUGGCCAAAUACACGGUGAGCCAGAGAGGAACAGGCCGACAUUCCCACAUCACUGGAUGCAGUGUACAUAAUCAAAGAAUUGAAAGAUUAUGGUGCGAUGUGUAUGGAAAUGUCCUUGACUUGUUCCACACACUAUUUCUCAAUUUGGAAGUGGAAGGGUUUCUAAACCCUGAAAAUGAACUGGAGUUAUUCGCUCUCCACUGGACCUACGUCCCACAGCUGCAGCAGCAUCUUCAGGCAUUCAAGGAAGCCUGGAAACACCAUAGUUUGGGGACAGAGAGAGAGCAAUCCCCCAUGCAACUGUGGCUCAGUCAGCCACGUGAGGGAAAUGCUGCUGGUCCAGUUGAGGAGAAUGGCAGCAACGAGCGGACCACAGACCAGACAAAUCACCGUGAUUUAAGCUGUUUGUAGCUGUUGCAAGCUGGAGCACUGAAAGAAUUAAGUUUCUGCUGGGAGAAGAAUCUAUUCAAGAGAGGAGCUUUAUUCCAUUGAGACAGAACAAAUCUGGACUGCAACAUCCAAUUCCAGUGGACAUCUUGAGGUGUUUUCGUGGUUGCCGUGCUGGUGCAAAGGUGAAGGCUAGGAAAUGGAGAUACAAGCCCUUUCUUCCAUCAAUCAUCAUGGGAAAUGUCAACUCUUUGCCAAACAAAAGUGACAAGCUGGAGACAUUGGUGAAGACGGACAAAACAUACCGUGAAUGCAGUCUCCUGUGUUUUACUGAGACCUGGUUGAAUCAAAACAACUCAGACUCAACUGUGGAUUUACCUGGCUUCACCCUCAUAAGGUCAGACAGAGAUGCUAAAGCUAGUGGCAAGAAGAAAGGAGGGGGUCUGGCUUUAUUUGUUAACCACAGAUGGUGUAACUCCUCACACAUAACGGUUAAGGAGAAGUUGUGUUGUCCAGAUAUUGAACUGUUGGCAGUUGGACUUCGGCCAUAUUAUGUCCCAAGGGAGUUCAGUCACAUCAUAACAAUACUUGUAUACGUUCCACCCAAAGUAACUGACUUGGUUCCAUGUGAUGUGUUGCAUGAUACUGUUGCUAGGAUACAUACUCAACAUGCUGAGGCACUUGUAAUAAUCAGGAGAUUUCAAUCAUGUCAGCCUCUCCUCUCACCUGACCGGAGUCACUCAUAAACACUCAAGAAGUUAAGAGGCAAUGCUAUGAAGCUCAUUUCAU